RNAcentral lists this long non-coding RNA (752 nucleotides) under Mytilus galloprovincialis (Mediterranean mussel). Lineage: Eukaryota; Metazoa; Mollusca; Bivalvia; Mytilida; Mytilidae. The record is from RNAcentral.
UUUCCAUGGAAUGUUUUUGGUAUUUAGUCAAACAUAUAACUAUGUUAACCUCUUCAAUUUCUAAAACAUUUUAAGUGGUAAGCUCUUGUUGAUUCAGAAAUACAUGCCUCCGCUCGCAAAACUUCAAACUGCAUUAUCUUUAAAACGACAACAGUUAUCUCAAAUCUGUUAAAUGAUAAAUGAUCUACAGUUGAAGGACAACAUUAUAGAAAAAGAAUUUGGACAAUUUCAAAGUUCACCAAGGUCACAAUUAUUCAUCAAAUAUAUGAUGCAAUACCAAACUUAAGAACCGGAAGUCACAGAGACAUGGGACUAUCACCAUUCAACUCAGGACUACUUGACUUUUCAAAUAUCACAAGGUCAAGGUCAUUGUAUACUGUGAAGGUCAAGGUGAAAUUUCAUCAUGACCUGACAUUGACCUCAAAUUGAAGGUCUUGAAUUACUGAUCAUCUUUGGAGUUUAUAGCAGGUUGAUAUCUGUAACCUUUAAAAAGAUAUACACACAAUACUAUACUUUUAAGAAUCAUCCCGUUGUAACUUUUAAACAGACGGUUGGACAUUUUUGGGCUUAUUGUAUAAAAUGUAGAGCUCGUCGAGAGGAACAUUUAAUACACAGUAUGUAUGCAGCAAACUCUUAUCGUUUUCUUAAUAUGUAAGCUUAAAAUUGCAGCGUGAUUUUUUUUGCACUCAGUGACCUUUGAACUUGGGUGCAAAUUAAAGGUCACAUGAAUAAGAGAAUAUUAGUGAAGGUCC